AGUGAACGCUGGCGGUAGGCCUAACACAUGCAAGUCGAACGGCAGCACAGUAAGAGCUUGCUCUUACGGGUGGCGAGUGGCGGACGGGUGAGGAAUACAUCGGAAUCUACUUUUUCGUGGGGGAUAACGUAGGGAAACUUACGCUAAUACCGCAUACGACCUACGGGUGAAAGCAGGGGAUCUUCGGACCUUGCGCGAUUGAAUGAGCCGAUGUCGGAUUAGCUAGUUGGCGGGGUAAAGGCCCACCAAGGCGACGAUCCGUAGCUGGUCUGAGAGGAUGAUCGGCCACACUGGAACUGAGACACGGUCCAGACUCCUACGGGAGGCAGCAGUGGGGAAUAUUGGACAAUGGGCGCAAGCCUGAUCCAGCCCUACCGCGUGGGUGAAGAAGGCCUUCGGGUUGUAAAGCCCUUUUGUUGGGAAAGAAAAGCAGCAGGUUAAUACCCCGCUGUUCUGACGGUACCCAAAGAAUAAGCACCGGCUAACUUCGUG
This 492-nucleotide ribosomal RNA is filed under the name uncultured bacterium. RNAcentral describes it as "partial 16S ribosomal RNA". It matches the Rfam family "Bacterial small subunit ribosomal RNA", at positions 29 to 507 of the family's 1533-position model. The record is from RNAcentral.